UGGAACCAGACGCUAGAAGCUGGAAAAGGCAGACAGGAACACAGCCCUGCCUACCCCUUGAUUUUAGUCCAGGAAGACCCAUCUCGGACUUCUGAUCUUCAGAUUGCAAGGUCGUGACUUCCUUCUUGGAUGUGGAGGCCAAGGCAUAAGCUGGAGGAUGGAGGGUUGGCGUAACUCUACAAGAAGUGUUUCCUCAGACUUCUGGGUGGAUUCUUGAGUCAAUAGAAACCUGAUACUGCUGAGAAGUAACCAGCUCCUUGGAGCACAGGCUCUUGGGCCCGGAGACAGUGUCAUGCACACCCAUCCAUCCAUUCCUAUUUGGAGCUGAAACCUCCCGAACAGUGAGAGAAGACCCCUGGCACAUAAUUGUAUAUUCUUCGUUGUGGGUUCUUCUAGUUGUGGCAUGUGGGACGCUGCCUCAGCGUGGUUUGAUGAGCAGUGCCAUGUCUGAGCCCAGGAUUCGAACCAAUGAAGCACUGGACCGCCUGCAGCGGAGCACGUGAACUUAACCACUCGGCCACGGGGCCAGCCCCAUUAUUCUCAUUUCAUAUCUGAGGAAAAUAAAAUAUUUUUAAUGCACUGGUUGACUGUUUAGGGGCUAUACGUCCCUCUCUUUCUAGUAUGCAUUCUUUUUGCAACAUGACCUAGGCGUUCCUCCCAUGCAGUGGCUCAGUCUAUCUCUUCACUCCCUAG
RNAcentral lists this long non-coding RNA (693 nucleotides) under Equus caballus (horse). RNAcentral describes it as "lncRNA (ENSECAG00000059394.1)". Lineage: Eukaryota; Metazoa; Chordata; Mammalia; Perissodactyla; Equidae. The record is from RNAcentral.